AAGAAAUUAGUUUAAUAUAAAACAUUAGCCUGUCAGACUAAAAAUAUUUAAUUAAUAUUUCUUA
This 64-nucleotide transfer RNA is filed under the name Triatoma migrans. Its description in RNAcentral is "tRNA-Asp". It matches the Rfam family "tRNA". From Rfam's summary of the family: Transfer RNA (tRNA) molecules are approximately 80 nucleotides in length. Their secondary structure includes four short double-helical elements and three loops (D, anti-codon, and T loops). The record is from RNAcentral. Lineage: Eukaryota; Metazoa; Arthropoda; Insecta; Hemiptera; Reduviidae.